This is a long non-coding RNA of Pogonomyrmex barbatus (red harvester ant), 2132 nucleotides long. NCBI's taxonomy places the organism in Eukaryota, Metazoa, Arthropoda, Insecta, Hymenoptera, Formicidae. The record is from RefSeq and is a predicted model, not a curated record.
UAAUAUAAUAGGCAGGAAUCGAAUCCGGCUCGACAGAUUAGUAGUACAAGAUCGAGUGCCCAAUCUCGGCGACAAUGAGCUUAACGCGGCCGGUAUAUAAGGAAUGCUAUAAACUUUAAACCGGUUUUUCUCAAAAACAAUUGAAUAUGGCGUUCUAUCCAUUUACUUAAGUACUCUUCUAGUAGAAUACUUUAACAUAUAUAAGUCUUUUUAAAAUCGGUGUUCCCCAGUUCGCAUCAUCCCCUUGUAAGUGCUACGUAUGCCAUGUAUGAUAGGUUAAAAUAAAAAAACGUCACGCUGCGCGAGAAGACAGUAAGAGGGAACGACCGCACUCGGAUAUACACUGCCAGUACUGAGAAUCCAUAGGUCACAUAACGUAUAUUAUAGAUUUUUAGUGGCAGUGUAUCGGAACAUGAUCAAAAAGAGUGAAACCGCAAUUUUGUCUUUUGUAAAAAACUUUGUGGAAAAGUGCUCAGAUAGUAUUAUUUCUCAUAGUUUUGUUUCUGUCACAAUGAGUGAAAGUAAAGUUGAAAGAUUUUUGGAAAAAAUCAACUUGAAAAUGUACUGGCCCACAUUUAAUCUAGUAUACGAAUGAUGUCAAUAAUAUCUGCGUGUAAUUCGCAACUUCCCAGUUAUUACAUGCUGCUGUAAUCAUUCCAGUGAUACACAAAAGGCGUAUAAUAUCGGCAUGUAAUCCAUUACAAAUAGUUACUAGAUAGUAAUAUCGAGAGUAAGCAUUACAUAGCGGCCGUAAUAACUACACAGCCAUUUGUAAUAAGCACACAGCUGGCAGUAGUUCCUUUUCGUAAAGGAUAUCAAGUCUUAAAAAAAUGUUCACUUCAGAAAUGAAUAAAAUAUAAUAGAGCAACCUCGUUCAAUUAUGUCAGGACAAAUUGACUACAGAGAUUAUUUCAAGAUCAACUUCAUUUUUUCUAAAUAUUAGAUCAUUAAGAAUAAAAUAUCCGAUUUCCUUAAGUUUGAGAGUCGAUAUCUCUGAUCUGUCGAUAUCACUGACAAUUCUUGUUUUUUUUUAUUCUUAAGGUUAUUUGAUAUUAUUACCCUUUUAAAUACAUUUUUAUUUGCAAUUUUCUUUUGAAUUGCGUUUUUCAGAUCAAUUUUUGCCAAGCCAUGGAUAAGUCAAAAAUUCGUGUUAUUUUAUUAAACAUAAGUUCCGUCGUGGAACCAAUGCAGCGCAGACAGCUCGAAAUAUCAAUGACAUGAAGAUGUGACUAAUGAACGCACAAUAUACCGAUGAUUUAAGAAGUUUCGUUCUGGCGAUUUUACUCUUAAAAAUGAGUCAUGUGGGCGACCUGAGAUCAAGGUAAAAAAUAAUGAGUUGAAAGCUAUAUAGUGGAAGCAGAUACAUUUCAAACUAUGCGUAAAUUAGCAGAAAGAUUUGACGUUUUUAUUCCGUUUACUAUUCCAAUAAUAUUGAAUCAUCUGAAAGAAAUCGAAAGGUAAAGAAGCUGGAUAGAUGGGUGCCACAUGAAUUAAACGAGAAGAGAAGAGAAACUGUCUUGAAGUUUGCUUUAUUGUCACGGCAUAAAGGCAUUUCUACAUCAUAUUGUUACGUGUGAUGAAAAUGGAUAUUUUUCGAAAAUCGCAAGCGGAAGGUUGGAUAAAAAUAAAAUGCCGAAACACGAUCCAGCGUUAGUAUAAUUCACUACAACUUCAUAAAAUCUGGUCAAUUACAGCAGGUGUCUACUGUAACUAAUUGGACGAAAUGAUAAGGGAACUUGUAAUUAAGCAGCCUAGAUUGGUCAACAGAAAUAGGUCAAUCCUCUUACACGACAACGCUUGACCACAUGUCGCACAAACAAUGCUGUUCAAUUUAAAAGAGCUGGACUUAGAAACUCUGUGUCGCUCACCAUAUUCAUCAGAUCUUGCGCUAACUGAUUACCACUUCUUUCAGGCAUUGGACCACUUCUUGCAAGGAAAAAUAUUUAAUUCUUAACAAACUGUGAAAAACGCCUGUUGCGAUUUCAUUGCCAUUCACUUUCCAGGCUCCUUUGCUGCCGGCAUAAAUAAGGUACUAAUGGCAAAACUGUAUCGUGAUAGUUUAGGGGUAUACUUUGAUUAAUUGUACUGCUUCUUGUUUGAAAUAUAUAAUGAACCAAACUUUUAAUUUCAAA